Camellia sinensis is the source of this 1105-nucleotide non-coding RNA. The record is from RefSeq and is a predicted model, not a curated record. NCBI's taxonomy places the organism in Eukaryota, Viridiplantae, Streptophyta, Magnoliopsida, Ericales, Theaceae.
AACAAACUUUAAAAAAAAAUUAUACAAAUACACCAUAUUCUUUUAGAGUAGGCCAAAAAAAAUUAUUUUGAGACUUUUAGGGACCAAAAAACUAACACGUACGCUCAUUUCGACACUUGACCCGCGUGUGUGAAGUGGAUAAAAGCUGGAGACCAAUUAAUUUGGUUGCUAAAGGUUGUCAAAUACGCGAUAUAGAAUCGAUCUUCACUAGGACUUAAUCGAUCUCAGCUAUUUCCCCUGUUGCUAAAGGUUGUCAAAUACGCGACAUCAGAAUCGAUCUUCACUAGGACUCUCGAUCUCGGCUAUUUCUUCUGUCUAGGGCUUAACGAUCUUCAACUUCGAUCGAUCUUUAGCUUAAAUCCGAAUCAAUCUUUGUGCCACCUCAUAUCAGAAUUGAUCUUCACUUCAACCCGAAUCGAUCUAAGUACUGAUCUCAGCUUCAAUCGAUCUUACCUAUUGUAACUUUAAUCCGAGUCGAUUAAGAUCUUAGCUACUGAUCUCAGUUUUAAUCCGAAUCGAUCAUUGAUGAUCUGAGUUCUUUGGCUUCAAUCGGAAGAUAUAUAUAAGUUUGAGUAAAUCGAUUUGGUUUCCAACAGAGAUCGUAGUAAUUUGGAUCAAUAACGAUUUGAGAAGAAGUCCUGGAGGAAGCAAAGUUACUGGCAUUUUUUGGAAUCUCCAUAUCCUAUCUCUAAACAGGUUGAUUCUUUAUCUUCUUCUUCAUUUUUUGCAAAUUUCUGCUACUUUGAAGACAUCGAUUGGUUAAUUCACUCUCUAUCAAGGAACUUAUAGACGUCGAAGGUGAUGGAAUGGCUGACAUGGUAUUUCGUUGUAUUCAUGAAAUGGACAUUAAUAAUCAGAUGAUAGUAUGUAGGUCAUUUUGUAAGCAAUAAUUCUUAUAGUUUUUUACUUAAAAGCAUUUAGUAUUAUCAAUCUUAAUAGUUAUAACAAUGACAUAUAUAUCCUACAACUUUGAUGAAGAUACACUUGUCUUGCUAUAUAGAUUUUUUCUGUACCAUGUGACCACUUCAUGCCUUGUACAAUAUACACUUUGUAAUGUAUUUGAAUUUAUUUUCAAGUAUUUUUAACCCCUAAUUUGUUUUGUUUU